UGCUCUGUGCAGAUUGUUGCUCUUUCGGUAAAGAAAUAAGAGAAACGACGACACGUGUAAGAAUCAUCUGAACGUUUAUUGUGCUCAUUCAAAACACGACUCGAUAAAAAAAGAGACGGACAGCUUUGGGAGUAACUGUUGGUUAUGCAGCACGUACGAUGGUUUGUUCAAAAAACGUUGUAUUAAAUUGUGGAAUCGGAUCCAAGAAGUCCAGAUGAGCGAGGAAGACCCGCUUUGUGAUGUCUGUAUCAAAGCAGCUGUAACAGUCAGGUGCUCCACAUCUGGAUCAUCCGUGUGAUUGUGAACGCAUGAAUCAAAAGGUCUUAUUGCGCAGGUUCCUUUUCGUCAGUAUUUCAAGCGAUUGAGACGGAUCACACAUUUAAAUAAGUGUUAAUAUCCGGAAUCAGAACUCGAUAAGCAGUACACACAUGAUCAAACAAUUUGAACGAGGACAUUUAAGACACUAAAUGGGAUUCUGAUGAGGAUACAUGAGCCGGUGAAGCUGUUGACUUUCACCCCGGGAGCUUUGAAGCAGAACUUCCCUCCAAUCGUUGAUUUGCAUAAAAUACGAACACUUUAAAAACAAAAUGUACUCAAAGAUUUAAAAAUGUAUCACAGUUUGAAUAUGAUCACGAUUCAAAAAGCAAAAUCCAUCUCAAGCCGUUUCGGGUUUAAGUUCACAGUCGAGUGCGUGAGAAUGUUCCAGGCAAUCGUCUUCUACCCAACGUCAGCACGGAAAUCAUCAAACAGAAAGAAAAAAAACGCAUCUUGUUUUUGGGAUGAGAAAUACAAUUCUGGUGGAAUAACCCUUUAAAAACAUGGCAAAUACAUACAUAAUCUUUUCAUCUUGACAAAGAAAAAUACAAUAUCUUAAGUGUCACAGAGCAGGAACCCAAGGAGAAGAUCCAGAGACCCCCCCCCCAGAAUAAAAUCAGUGUUUGAUCACCAUUAAUUGCACGACAGAUAAGACCUUCAGAUUUCCACACCUGGGGCGGGGGGGGGGGGGGGUCUUUGGUAAAGUCAUACUUUAGGGUCGAGCAGCUCAUCUGCCCAGAGUUUAAAUACAAUAAAUAGAGAAAAAGGCGGGAAACAUAUGGGAAACUAGACAGAAACCGAAGUUCCCGUCUGCGUGACGGUCAACCGUUUCCGCUGAAAACCCACCUGACCUUCCGUGACCUCGUGGAUGAGUUUGAUCAACAUGCAGGUACUUUAUAAAUAAUCGAUAUGCCCAUAAAUACUACAUGAAUCUCCUGUAGCCCUUUGGUUUGCUGAACGUGGAGGAGGAUUUGAAUGCGUCUCCUCCGCCGUGUUUUACUCUUUAGAUUUGAACUCCGCUGAGAGCAGCUGUACAAGAGGAGAGUCUGCUUUGGUUUGGUGUCAAAUGGAUUAAAGAGAAAGAAAAGGAAAACAGUUUGAGAUAAAAUACUUUGGCGUGCGCUUGUUGACGUACGCGUUCGUUAGAUAUUAUUGUCUCAUGACCUUGAGGAGCCCUUUGGUUUUCUGCUGGGACUCACGAGGAUGAAGAAGACAUUUAAAAGUACCAACCAAGUGUUUCAAAUUCAAGACAAAUACUUCCAGCCCUUCGGAUUUAAAUCACAUGGAGGAAUAAUAGUAUAUUAAAAAAAUAUAUAUAUAUUAUAUUUUUAUAUAUUAUAAUAAAUUAUAUUUUA
This is a long non-coding RNA of Gasterosteus aculeatus aculeatus (three-spined stickleback), 1670 nucleotides long. The record is from Ensembl. Lineage: Eukaryota; Metazoa; Chordata; Actinopteri; Perciformes; Gasterosteidae.